AUUGCUCCUAGAAGCAUCGCGUCGUGGAUCGGCUUUCUCCGUGCUCCGCCUCGUCGGCCUCAUGCCCUGUAGCCCCGACUCCCCAUCUGCCGCCUCCACCUCAUGGGCCGCCGGGUCCACCCUCGCCGUCCAGCUUGGCAACAUCUUUGACCGUGGUGGCGACGAACUCCGCCUCCUGCACCCCCUCCGCCUCCUCGCCCCUUCCGCUGAGGCCCGCGUCAGCGCGUUCCUGCCAUAGUCGGCAACCAAUAGGAGCGUAAAACUGGAGCUAGGGAUUGAAGCUGUUGCAGGUACAUGUCAUAUAUAAAUGGACAUGGGCAGGCACUCCCGCUGAGGGUGCUUCUUGGCUUCGUCUGUAGAGGCUUGCUGAUAUUUGGCAUAGGAUAUUGUUAAUUUGUGGGUAUGAUGCAUGGAUUAUUUGAGAUCUUUGAGCAGAUAAAGCAAUCAUUAUCAUCUCAAAGGGAGGGUAUUGAUUUCAUGGCCGUGAUUCCCCCUCUCCCAGUCAAAGCCAUCCAAGCCGCAAUUACUUCAGGGACAGGGUGUUCACUGGGGCUAGAAGGAUUCUGUUUUUAUUGCACGACACAUGACAACAUAUCCAAGUAGUCCUUGAUUGAUUUAGCAGCAGGGAGUAAGCGUCUUGCUAAAAGUGGCUCCACAGGUGAACUUAGGUGAGUGUUUGGUUACCAUGUAUUUCCAGAUCAAUGACAUACUAAAAUUGUUCUUUGCACAUAUAAAUACAAAAAAAUAGGUAUAGGAAAAGAAAUGACAUGCAACCCAAUAAAUCUUUUUGUAUUUAUUUAUAAGAAAUGACAGAAAAAAUCUCCCUCAUUAAAAUAAGUGAAAGAAUCUAACAACCACUAAUUAUCUUCCAAAAAAUCAAUUAUUAUUUUUGCACCAAAUUGUAACAAUACUGAAACCAUAUUCCUUUCAUCUCAUUUUAUCUGUUUAACACAAUGAUUUUAAUAAGUUCAAUAUCACACUGUAAAGAGUGAACCAAUGAUUUGUCUUAGACUACAGGCGUUAGCUCUCUUUUGAUACUAAAUCCAUAUUCCUUUCAUCCUUUGAUCUCAUUUAAUAUGUUUAAUACAUUGAUUUUAGUACGUUCAACAUCACACUACAAGCAUGGUUAUUUUUUAAAGAUGCCUACCAUUUUUAUCGGUCAGACUAUUUCUUAAAAUUGUUCCACGACAUAAUAUUUACCAAUCUAUACAUCCAUACAUCAUUCAGCAAUGCUAGAUCUUGGUAGCGAGACAACGUUCUUCGAUGUUUUUGAUGGUCACGGAGGUAAUCACAAUAUAUGCCUUUUAUGUUCCUUGAAUUAGACUGCCUACGAGGAAUACCAUUAUGCCAAGUAUUUAUAGAACCUCUCUUUAACAUUUCACAACCUCAUACGGUCAUACCAUUGCUUUACUUAGGAAGAGUAGCUGUCAAAUUCUGUACAAAAUACCCGCAUAAUCAAGUUCUCAAAAGUGAAGCCUAUUCAGUUGGUGACCUAGGUCCUACUGUCCUAAUAAAGCUUAAAUAUUUAUUAUAUGUAUACAACAAACACAAAGUUGAUUGUGUAAAUGCUCUGUUGAUAGUGGCUUUCUAAUUCAACAUAUAUCCCUAUAACUGCAUAUCUGUAUUGAAUAUGAUAAUGUUAUCUGCAUUUAAAUGGACCUGUGGGUAAGACUCAUAUGAAUGAACAGCCGUCUAGAGGCCAUUUUGUAUUUACAUUAAAGAUAUCCAAAUCUAAUGAGGUAGAAUGGAACAUUCACUAUUAUCAUACCAAGAUCUACCAAAAUAUAGUGUUCCUUAUGCUCUCUUUCAGACUCGCGACAAUCCCUUUUUAAACAAAUAUUUUGCAUGCCAAAUAACUAAUCCUGAGAAAGUAUAGCUCCCAUUUUUUUGGUUGAAGAAAACAGACCAACCUGGCCAAAGAGUCAUUAACUUGAUUGAUUUUGCUGCAGCGAUCGUCUUGCUAAAAGUGGUUGUACAGGUGAUCGCUUGAAGGAAACUCAGCUGAGUGUUUGGUUACUAUAAAUUUUCAAAUUUUUUAGUGAUUCUGGUCACCAUACAAUUUUUUUAAUUAAGGAAACACAAGUUUAGACAGAGUUCUACUGCUUUACUUUGAAGAAAGUGACUUUCGUUCUCAAUGGGCCUAAAGAGAAUACUUGAUUUAAAGCAUUACGUCUUGCCUAGCUGCUAUUUCUAAUUAGUAAUCUCACUAUAUUGUAUGCCGAACAGACACUUCAUGUCCAAUGUGCAUACCAUACUAUUUCCAGUCUAAUGCUCUAAUUCUAGGACACAACAAACUUCACAGGCAUCAUGAUUCAUGUCAUGUUCUACUUUGUUAAGACUUAACAAUAAUCUAUAAAACAAUUGUUAUGAUAAUGGUGAGUCAAAACCUGCACUUAUGAUUCUGCUUAAAGUUCUUGUAUCUUUACAUAAAGUUCCAUUUGUGAAAAAAAGAUACAAAUACAAAUCAGUCCAUAAAUGAAAAUAUAUUUACCAACUCACUAUUUUUUCCAUAAUUCACUAACAGGUUCAAGAAGGACACAUGAGUAUCCGAGAAAAAACUCCCAAGAAAUCUUCCCAAAACUGAAUGUUGCCUUCUACCAUCAACAACCUUUGAAGUUCUAGGGUGUUUAUUUUUGAAUGUUCUCUACAAUUAUGUGUGUAUAUAUAUAUAUAUGCUUCUUCAUCCUUUUCAAGACAAUUUUUAUAAAUAUAACAACUUGAUUUCAAACGUUGAAACACGAUAAUUUACCUAACUCUAUUUAGAUGACUA
Molecule: long non-coding RNA, 2770 nt
Organism: Zea mays
Lineage: Eukaryota; Viridiplantae; Streptophyta; Magnoliopsida; Poales; Poaceae
Exons: 2
Source: RefSeq, a predicted model, not a curated record